This 584-nucleotide long non-coding RNA is filed under the name Homo sapiens (human). RNAcentral describes it as "HSALNT0222540". The record is from RNAcentral. Lineage: Eukaryota; Metazoa; Chordata; Mammalia; Primates; Hominidae.
CAAUAAUCCCGCCUCAGCCUCCCAAAGCGCUGAGAUUACAGGCAUGAGUCACCGUGCCCAGCCCAUUUCUAGUAUUUUCUAAUGAUGCAUUUUUCUCUUCACUAUAGGUCAUCUUCCUGCUGAUUUGUAUGCCUGGUAGUUUUUCACUGGAUGCUCUACAUGAUUCAACAGAUGCAGAAAGAAGCCAUCUCAGAGCUUCCCUUAUCUCAUGAGAAGCAGAAACUUCUGAGAAAUGAGGACUGCUGUAAAUCUCCUCUUCUAGGGAAGUUUUAUGGCCACAGAGAAGAUGAAGUUGGCGCCAAGAUGGAUCUGCACAAACAAACCUUACUCCAUUAAUUUCCCUCAUAUAUUUACUUUCCCAUGGUUUACUGCCUUUGGGAGCCUAAGAUUUUUUUUUUUUCCUUUGACUUGUCACUUCUCUACGAAUUUAUUGUUCUUUGUUAAGAUGCAUAAACCCACAUUCUAACCACCUCUUUGAGUUUUUCAUCAUAUCACUGAGUUUCUCCUGGGUACACGCCCACUGUACAUGCUAAUAAACUAUUUGUUUUUCCCUUGUUAAUCUGUUUUUUCUCAGUUAAUUUUCA